UGACCACUUUCUGCAUGCCAUGCAGUAAGUUAAGGCCAGACGGACAGCCGGGUCAACUGCCGA
RNAcentral lists this small RNA (63 nucleotides) under human gut metagenome. RNAcentral's name for it is "Streptococcus sRNA SpF59 (ldcC RNA)". It matches the Rfam family "Streptococcus sRNA SpF59 (ldcC RNA)". The record is from RNAcentral.